Long non-coding RNA from Mandrillus leucophaeus (drill), 2033 nucleotides. RefSeq lists it as uncharacterized. Lineage: Eukaryota; Metazoa; Chordata; Mammalia; Primates; Cercopithecidae. The transcript is spliced from 2 exons. The record is from RefSeq and is a predicted model, not a curated record.
GCUUUUCCGCCCCGGCUCUUCUUUUGUUGUCAAGUCCUUUUGAUAAAUGGUGGGGCUGGGAGCUCUGGGAGUCGGUAGCCAGUCUGUGCCCGCGCGGGGGGCGGGGGCCGAGCCUGGAGACCCGGUUUCGACCGGCGCGCACCCGGGGCUGAGCUGGGUACGCGCGGGGUCGGGGCUAGAACCUGCCCUCGGCGUGCCCGCCCUCUCCUCUUGGCCCAUCUCACUCCGCUUCCCCACCUCACUCCCCUCCCCCAAUUCUUUCUCUGUCUCCCACUCCGCAAGAAUUCCGAGAACUUUCUGGGAAUCGACGGGAUUUCUCUGGCUGUCGUUUGCGCUGCAUUUAUCCGAAUAAAUCCAGCUCGCAGGCAUCCUGCAGGAAACGGCUCCCGGCUCGCGUGUACGCCGACACCUCGGCCCAACGCGGGACUCGAGGUGGCUCCUAGUGCCUGGGCGGCUGCUAGUCCGGCCUCCGAGGGAGGCUGGACAAGCGGCGCCCCCAGGUCGAGCGGCCUCUCACUGCCUGGCAGCCCCCAGCUCUGCCGGUGCUUCGGAAACCCGCCUGGCCAGGUUCGCCCGCAGUGAAAAAUGAAAGCAAAUUCCCCUACAGAGGUAGCCCGAACUUUCCUUGACGAAGGCUCUCUCUUGAGCCUGGAUCUCGAAGAAACCCCAGAGCGCUGCAAGUUAGCAACAGAGAUUCGAUGGCGGCUCCGGAGGGCGCGCGAAGGGUGGGGCGAGGGGGCAAAAAGGACACUGGGUGACCCAGCCUGGCCCAGGGCGAAACGCAAGAGAAGGCGCCUCGCCUUCCUUAUUUCAAUGCAACUCCUUGGCCCUAGACGGUAAAAAUAGUUUCCAAGCUGCCGCGGACGCCCAGGAUGUGUUUGCAGAGAUCAAACUGGGGAGGAAGCGGCUUUGUAAAAGUUGCAGAAAGAUUAGCCCAGAAGCGUCCGCCCGGCGGGGCUCAAGAAAGCUUGAGGACAGCUUCACGUUCCUUGGGGCGGAAUGGCCCAAGAAUUGGCCUGGGUAACCCCCUGCCCAGUUCUCUGUGCUCACUUCGAGCCAGCGCUUAAAUAACUUCCCGCCGCCUGCCCUGCAAACUUCCAGGCGCGGCGCCGGCGAGGCCAGGACACAGCAAAGGCUAGCAAAACCCCGCCGCGGCGCGCUCGGCCCCAGCCCUGAGAGGCUGCACGGGGUGGGAGAACCAGUGUGGUUUUCGCUCCCACUCGGCUGCCCAGACCCUCAAGACCGAUCCCCCCAACUCCUGGGAGCGGGUGCUUCCCUCUGGGAGUCGAGAUCUUGCGGGGCCGGCGAGGGCGCAAAGUGCGCUCGCUAGCCCGCGCGGGGGCGGCCGCGCGUCUCUCCGCGGGGCCUGUCGCCAGGCCGGCCGCGGCGGGUGAGUGAUGAGGGCAGAGAAGGGCGCCCAUAAAUCGCGGGUGUCAGGGCGAAAAACUCUCUUUAUUGUCUGCGUGAUGGAUGGGCCCGGGGACGAGACACCAAAUACUUCGUAUCGCCUUUAAAUGGGAACACAUUUUCCGCGGCCAUAAUUCAUGUUUUUUAAAUAGAAAGUUUGAAAUGUUGCCUAUAUUUCACCAGCCCUGACAUAUUUAUGAAUCGCUCCCUGCAUGCAAAUAUCAUUAUUUAAAGCGCCGGGGAGAGCGCGGGGGAGGGGAGGAGGCGCGGUUCCUGGGGCGUGGGGGUGGUGAACCGGGGAAAUGUCGGUGGAGGGGGGCCAUUUCCCUAAAGGGCAGAGGGUGAGGUGCGGGGAAUAGCCGUAUCCGGAAACCGAGCGUGCCCCGGGCUUCUCUCCCGCCGCCGGACCCCGCACGGCCGACCCGGGACGUUUUUCGAGGCUUGGGACCUAAGACAGGCCCCCGGCCCCUGCUGGGAGACCAGGGGGCGUUUUUCGUCCCUCUCUGAGGCCGUUAUCCAAGCCGAAACCACCUUUUCUAAGAAACAAGUUAAAAAAAAAAAGAAAACCAAAAAGAAUUUAACAAACACAAAUAAUAAUAACCCAACAUAUUUCGUGUUCUUUGCCA